GAAAUGCGAUAAGUAGUGUGAAUUGCAGAAUUCAGUGAAUCAUCGAAUCUUUGAACGCACAUUGCGCCCUUUGGUAUUCCUUAGGGCAUGCCUGUUCGAGCGUCAUUUAAACCUUCAAGCCCUGCUUGGUGUUGGGUGCCUGUCCCGCCCCCGCGCGUGGACUCACCUCAAAUCCAUUGGCGGCCCCCGCAUGGCCACGAGCGCAGCAGAAACGCAAACUCGUGUGCCGGACCGGGCGGCUCCAGAAGCUACACUCACCAUUUUGACCUCGGAUCAGGUAGGGAUACCCGCUGAACUUAAGC
Molecule: unclassified non-coding RNA, 302 nt
Filed under: plant metagenome
Description: partial contains 5.8S ribosomal RNA, internal transcribed spacer 2, and large subunit ribosomal RNA
Rfam family: 5.8S ribosomal RNA (bases 1-105)
Source: RNAcentral